GGGCCGUUAGCUCAGUUGGCAGAGCACCGGCCUUUUAAGCCGGGUGUCGACGGUUCGAGCCCGUCACGGCCCA
This 73-nucleotide transfer RNA is filed under the name Acidobacteriota bacterium. RNAcentral's name for it is "tRNA-Lys". It matches the Rfam family "tRNA". From Rfam's summary of the family: Transfer RNA (tRNA) molecules are approximately 80 nucleotides in length. Their secondary structure includes four short double-helical elements and three loops (D, anti-codon, and T loops). The record is from RNAcentral. Lineage: Bacteria; Pseudomonadati; Acidobacteriota.